GACGAACGCUGGCGGCGUGCUUAACACAUGCAAGUCGAACGGAAAGGCCCUGCUUUUGUGGGGUGCUCGAGUGGCGAACGGGUGAGUAACACGUGAGUAACCUGCCCUUGACUUUGGGAUAACUUCAGGAAACUGGGGCUAAUACCGGAUAGGAGCUCCUGCUGCAUGGUGGGGGUUGGAAAGUUUCGGCGGUUGGGGAUGGACUCGCGGCUUAUCAGCUUGUUGGUGGGGUAGUGGCUUACCAAGGCUUUGACGGGUAGCCGGCCUGAGAGGGUGACCGGCCACAUUGGGACUGAGAUACGGACCAGACUCCUACGGGAGGCAGCAGUGGGGAAUAUUGCACAAUGGGCGGAAGCCUGAUGCAGCAACGCCGCGUGCGGGAUGACGGCCUUCGGGUUGUAAACCGCUUUCGCCGGUGACGAAGCGUGAGUGACGGUAAUGGGUAAAGAAGCACCGGCUAACUACGUG
This 468-nucleotide ribosomal RNA is filed under the name uncultured bacterium. RNAcentral's name for it is "partial 16S ribosomal RNA". It matches the Rfam family "Bacterial small subunit ribosomal RNA", at positions 28 to 507 of the family's 1533-position model. The record is from RNAcentral.